Molecule: long non-coding RNA, 901 nt
Organism: Esox lucius (northern pike)
Lineage: Eukaryota; Metazoa; Chordata; Actinopteri; Esociformes; Esocidae
Exons: 5
Source: RefSeq, a predicted model, not a curated record
UUUUUUUUUUGUAUAUGACUGUUCUACUAUUUCUAUAUGUAACAAAGUGUGUAAUCAGCCAUUUACUGUAAUUAUUUAACAGAAUCAAAACAACUUCCUUCUGCCCAACCCCUGGGCUUGAACUUUAAAAAAGCCACUGACCAAUCUGAAGAUUCAGUCCAGUUCCAUGCCCCUCCAACCCCCAUGACCACUUCUGGUCACCAAUCUGGAGGUAACUGUGUUGUCUUGUGUAUCCAGCAUUCAGCAUCAAAGAUAUAUAAAUAAGAAAUCUAAUGCAUGUCUCUCUAUAAUAAUAUACAAUGACAAGGAGGAUAUAGGUUUCUUCACAGACCCGACAUCUCAGGGCAAGUACAGUGCAAAUUCAAGUCAAAAUGGCAAUGGUUUCCUCCUCCAACACAUAGUAAACCCUUUUUCUUUCAUUAAAACAGAUUCAGUCCAGUUCCAUGCCCCUCCAACCCCCAUGACCACUUCAGGUCACCAAUCUGGAGCAGGCUAUGGAUGCUCAUCAUUGGGGCCUGCUUUUCAGCAUCCUGAAAACUUCUACAGAUUAAUACUGCAGCAUCUGAGGGAGUUGGCCGAAGAACUGAGGGAUGUGAAACAGCAGGUUUCUUUAAACACAGCCAUAUUACAGAGCCUGACAGCUGGAACCAACGUGGACAUGUCCAUCCCACCAGACGUCAUCCUUCCUCUGGAGGAUAGAAGCAUGCUGGAGGACGUUGAGAGAGGGCUUGGACAAAAUCUGGAAUUAACAGAGAAAUUGGUUGCUUACUUAGCCUCAAGAGGAGGCAGGAACCUAAAGGACUCCGUAAAAAGAAUAUUUUAGAGCCUUUUUACUAACAACCUCGCCAUCGGGAUGAACUGGACAGGGUCGGGACAGAAGGUGUCCUUCAACAACCUCCAU